UUUACCAGGUCUUGACAUACCAGUUGACCGGUCUAGAGAUAGACUUUUCGCUCUCGGGCGACAAUGGAGUACAGGUGGUGCAUGGUUGUCGUCAGCUCGUGCCGUGAGGUGUGGGUUAAGUCCCGCAACGAGCGCAACCCUAUUGAUAGUUGCUAAUAUUAAGUUAAGGACUCUAUUGAGACUGCCAGCGACAAGCUGGAGGAAGGUGGGGAUGACGUCAAAUCAUCAUGCCCUUUAUGACCUGGGCUACAAACGUACUACAAUGGCCAGAUACAAAGAGAUGCGAAGCCGCGAGGUGGAGCGAACCUCAUAAAAAUGGUCUCAGUUCGGAUUGGAGUCUGCAACUCGACUCCAUGAAGUCGGAAUCGCUAGUAAUCGCGGGUCAGCAGACCGCGGUGAAUACGUUCCCGGGUUUU
RNAcentral lists this ribosomal RNA (416 nucleotides) under uncultured Bacillota bacterium. Its description in RNAcentral is "bacterial SSU rRNA". It matches the Rfam family "Bacterial small subunit ribosomal RNA", at positions 970 to 1382 of the family's 1533-position model. The record is from RNAcentral. Lineage: Bacteria; Bacillati; Bacillota.